This 699-nucleotide ribosomal RNA is filed under the name Microcharidius cf. elenae BMNH 1046057. Its description in RNAcentral is "SSU rRNA". Lineage: Eukaryota; Metazoa; Arthropoda; Insecta; Coleoptera; Carabidae. The record is from RNAcentral.
GGGACUCAUCCGAGGCCCCGUAAUCGGAAUGAGUACACUUUAAAUCCUUUAACGAGUACCCAUUGGAGGGCAAGUCUGGUGCCAGCAGCCGCGGUAAUACCAGCUCCAAUAGCGUAUAUUAAUGUUGUUGCGGUUAAAAAGCUCGUAGUUGAAUUUGUGUUCCGCGCUGUCGGUUCACCGCCCGCGGUGUUUAACUGGCACGUCCGCGGAACGUCCUGCCGGUGGAUGCGUGGACCUUGUAUGCUUCCNCAUUGUGCGUGUGCAACUUCGGUUGUUACUGUAUGAUGUGGUGGGGUUGCAGGCGCUCUACCAUCCGACUCAAUAAUCCUGUCGCGGUGCUCUUAAUUGAGUGUCRAGGCGGGCCGGCACGUUUACUUUGAACAAAUUAGAGUGCUCAAAGCAGGCUAAAAUUUCGCCUGAAUACUGUGUGCAUGGAAUAAUGGAACAGGACCUCGGUUCUAUUUUGUUGGUUUUCGGAAACCCGAGGUAAUGAUUAAUAGGGACAGAUGGGGGCAUUCGUAUUGCGACGUUAGAGGUGAAAUUCUUGGAUCGUCGCAAGACGGACAGAAGCGAAAGCAUUUGCCAAAAAUGUUUUCAUUAAUCAAGAACGAAAGUCAGAGGUUCGAAGGCGAUCAGAUACCGCCCUAGUUCUGACCAUAAACGAUGCCAGCUAGCGAUCCGCCGACGUUCCUCCGAUGA